This 514-nucleotide ribosomal RNA is filed under the name uncultured bacterium. RNAcentral describes it as "bacterial SSU rRNA". It matches the Rfam family "Bacterial small subunit ribosomal RNA", at positions 10 to 518 of the family's 1533-position model. The record is from RNAcentral.
AGUUGAUCAUGGCUCAGGAUGAACGCUAGCGGCAGGCUUAACACAUGCAAGUCGAGGGGCAGCGGGAUGUAGCAAUACAUUGCCGGCGACCGGCGGAUGGGUGCGUAACGCGUAUGCAACCUACCUUAUACAGGGGAAUAACCUUUCGAAAGGGAGACUAACACCCCAUAGUAUUGAUUUAAGGCAUCUUAGAUUAAUUAAAUAUUUAUAGGUAUAAGAUGGGCAUGCGUAUGAUUAGCUAGUUGGUAAGGUAACGGCUUACCAAGGCGACGAUCAUUAGGGGUUCUGAGAGGAAGGUCCCCCACACUGGUACUGAGACACGGACCAGACUCCUACGGGAGGCAGCAGUGAGGAAUAUUGGUCAAUGGGCGCAAGCCUGAACCAGCCAUGCCGCGUGCAGGAAAGACGGCCUUAUGGGUUGUAAACUGCUUUACAUAAGACUAACCGUAUAUUUGCGAAUAUACCUGAAUGUAUUAUGAGAAUAAGGAUCGGCUAACUCCGUGCCAGCAGCCGC